RNAcentral lists this long non-coding RNA (1047 nucleotides) under Canis lupus familiaris (dog). Its description in RNAcentral is "lncRNA (ENSCAFG00040006444.1)". Lineage: Eukaryota; Metazoa; Chordata; Mammalia; Carnivora; Canidae. The record is from RNAcentral.
AACCGUGGAAGAGACUCCGCUUCGCGGGAGGAGGCUCCCGGCUCCCGUGCCCGCUGCAGCGCAGGCCGGGAAAGCGCCCCCCACCUCCCCGCGACGGGCAGGGCGCAUCCCUCCCCCCGAGCCCCGCGGGGCCGGCCCCACUCGGAGCGGCUCUGUAGUCCCCGGCAUUUGCAGGCGGGAGGGACAGGAGGGGGCUCGGGGCCGAGCACACACACAGGUCCCAGGAGGAGGCUUUUCUCAGAGCGCAUCUGGGCCCCCCGCCCCCACCGCGCCGCUUCCCGGUUUGUCCCUUUAUCGCUCUCUCAAAGCCCAGCCGCGGGACGUGUUUCUGCUGCAACCGGCCGCCUUGGCUCCGCGCGCGAACUGCUGGACGCGCUGCCACGUGCGGUAACCACGCUCUCCUCCCGAGGCCAGCUCCGCCAGGUGCCCCCGCUCGCGUUCUCGUGCCCCCCAGCCUGCUCCCCGCUCUGCGCCCGGGCCCCGCGCGCCCCGCAGAAAGGAGCGCGUCGCGGGCGCGGGCACCUGGUGGUCCCCAGGCCCGCGGCGCAAAGGGCGCCCCGGGGAGCCAGUGCCCGCAGGAGCCGCGGCUCGCGGCGGGGCGCUUCUGGGUUCCCAGCACCAGGGGGCACCAGAAACCGCCCGAGUCCCUUAGCGCCCCCGCGAAUGAGAGGCUGCGUCGUCAUUCGAAGUCUAAGAUCCGAGAACAAGCACCCCCGCCCCGUGCCCCUGCCACAUCCAAGUUGCCCCCCGGAACUUCCGGAGGCGCUCACCAGCCUUCCAGCUUUCUGGGCUCCCACCCUCCAUCCUCUCUCCCCAGCUUUCCCCUUCCCACCUCACCUGAUCUGGUUUCUCGGUAACCUGCUUUUAGACUGCCCCCUCCCCCCAGGUCCCCCGCGUCACCUCGACAGCUUCCCCCGGGGUGAGCGCCCCCGCACCUUCCUCUGUCUCGCAGGCUGGGAGGUUUGUUUGGGCUUUGCCUUCAGGAUCCAGGUCUCAGGGAGAGACACGGGAGGCGGGGGAUGGGGGGGGGGCGUAACUCGGGGGUAG